This 271-nucleotide long non-coding RNA is filed under the name Gossypium barbadense (sea-island cotton). Its description in RNAcentral is "long non-coding RNA (GBAR_LNC019070)". The record is from RNAcentral. Lineage: Eukaryota; Viridiplantae; Streptophyta; Magnoliopsida; Malvales; Malvaceae.
AGAGAACUAAGAUGAGCAUAAAUUUCCUCUAGCACUUGAGGGAAAACAUCGUCAGGAAGGAGACAGAAAGCUUGCCAUCCAUGUUUCUCCACCACGGAUGAAAUGGCUUUAGCAUACUCCAUCCCUAUCUUGAAAAUGAAAUCCCUUUUCUAAGCACAGAGGCUGUUUGGAAAUGUUUUGGUGGUACUUAGUUUCUGCUGCCUUGCUGAAGAAUGUACGAGGGUGUGAAAUAAUGGAAGUGGAUGGUGCUUGUCGAGCAAUGGAAAAGAAG